This 69-nucleotide transfer RNA is filed under the name Tacola larymna. RNAcentral's name for it is "tRNA-Gln". The record is from RNAcentral. Lineage: Eukaryota; Metazoa; Arthropoda; Insecta; Lepidoptera; Nymphalidae.
UAUAUUUUGGUGUAAGAGGCACAGUAAUUUUUGAAGUUACUAGAUAUAGUUUAAUUCUAUAAAAUAUAA